Long non-coding RNA from Helianthus annuus (common sunflower), 521 nucleotides. RefSeq lists it as uncharacterized. NCBI's taxonomy places the organism in Eukaryota, Viridiplantae, Streptophyta, Magnoliopsida, Asterales, Asteraceae. The transcript is spliced from 3 exons. The record is from RefSeq and is a predicted model, not a curated record.
AAAAAAUAUUACUUUGCACUUUAAUAAAACACCCUCUCCUUUUCUUCAACCAAUCCCUGUUUUCUUCAACGCUAAUUAUUUGUAAACUUUUUGUUCCGUUUUCGAAAAGCUUCAACGCUACCAGCUUCCAGUUUUAAAGCACAAGAUAUGACACAAACUUCUAGUUCUUUAAAUCAAAGAACAAUGAAGUUGUUAUUUGCUGUUUUUGUGUUUUGUAACCUUUUGAUGAUUAUGGAUACAGUUGCAUACGAAGAGACGAUGCCUGUCGAUAUGUGCACAUUUUUGAAGUGGUCAGGACCAUGCCUCAAAAGCAAGUGUUCUGAUGCAUGCAUUAGAAGUGGAUAUGUCGACGGGGUUUGCCAAAACGAUGCUACCGAAAAUGCUGAUGCAUGUUAUUGUUUCAAACAUUGUUAAGGUUAUAUACAAGUAUCUGUAACCUUGUCUUGUUGUUGACCAGGUUUAUAUGUAAUGUUGUUAUAUAUCAACUUAUAAUAAUCAAGUUUAUUUUAUUUAUAUGGUAA